AUUGAACGCUGGCGGCAUGCCUUACACAUGCAAGUCGAACGGUAACAGGUCUUCGGAUGCUGACGAGUGGCGAACGGGUGAGUAAUACAUCGGAACGUGCCUAGUAGUGGGGGAUAACUACUCGAAAGAGUGGCUAAUACCGCAUGAGAUCUACGGAUGAAAGCAGGGAUCGCAAGACCUUGUGCUACUAGAGCGGCCGGUGGCAGAUUAGGUAGUUGGUGGGAUAAAAGCUUACCAAGCCGACGAUCUGUAGCUGGUCUGAGAGGACGAUCAGCCACACUGGGACUGAGACACGGCCCAGACUCCUACGGGAGGCAGCAGUGGGGAAUUUUGGACAAUGGGCGCAAGCCUGAUCCAGCAAUGCCGCGUGCAGGAUGAAGGCCUUCGGGUUGUAAACUGCUUUUGUACGGAACGAAAAGCCCCGGGUUAAUACCCUGGGGUCAUGACGGUACCGUAAGAAUAAGCACCGGCUAACUACGUGCCAGCCGCCGCCGUAA
This 497-nucleotide ribosomal RNA is filed under the name uncultured bacterium. RNAcentral describes it as "partial 16S ribosomal RNA". It matches the Rfam family "Bacterial small subunit ribosomal RNA", at positions 30 to 523 of the family's 1533-position model. The record is from RNAcentral.